AAAAAAAAAAAACCCUGCCAAUAUUGCGAUACAGAGAAAGAGGAAGGGAAAAAGGGGAAAAACCUACUCUCUGCACAUCAGUCUUCUUAACUAUUUUUCUCUCUAAAAAAAAACCCUAGCCAUACUACGAUAGAGGCGAUCUUUUCACAUCAAACUCCGCUACGAGAAAAGAAAAAAGAAGAAAGACUUGCGCCACAGUGGAGAUUCGAUUGAUCAUCGCUAUCCCCUUUUGAGUUUUCCAGACUCUGCGAACCAGUGGAUAUUCGUACGGCCGGCCACUGCCAUACCCUGCCGGACUUAGAGCAUCACAAUCGGCAUCCGUCAAAGCUAAAUACGAUCAAACGCCUCAUAGGUUUUGAGAUACAGAGUUAGAGAUUGGCGAUAUUCUGACGAAAGAUUCAUAUCGCAACGAAGUACAAAACUUUGAAGCGGAUAUCAGUGAAUGUGAGAUGCAGUUAACGUAGCAAACAACCAUGAGCUGACCAAUAUUGCUAUGAUCUUGAAUGACUGAUACAACAUGUUGGUUUAUCUCUCUUCUAUGUAUUGCACUUAACUUCUAUGGUUUCUGUUGGGAGGAUAAAGAACUUCACAAUAUUGACGUUAGAGACUCCAGGGGACUCAUUAACUGCCAGUCUGUACUUGCUGCCAUCCUAGCAAAAACAGGAGUUUCAGCCCAUUUUACUUAUUAGUGAAAAUGAACCAAUGACUUACUGCUUACUAUUGAAGGGGAGACGGAGCGCUAAAAAAAAGAAAGCAUUAUCAUUAAUUCAAACUGUUUUUCAUCCUACCUGAUCUACUGUUUUUGAAGAGCGAUUAAAAUUGUAAAACUUUUAAAUCUGAAAGUGUAAUCUAUUUUUGUUGUUGUAACUUUAUGGUUGCUGGUAGGUGAAUUUUCAUUUCUAAAACAAUAAAUGUAAUUACUAUUAAAUUGUCAAAAAUUGUUUCUAAUUCAUUUAGUAGAUCAUGUUUGGUUGGAGCACA
Molecule: long non-coding RNA, 981 nt
Organism: Quercus robur (English oak)
Lineage: Eukaryota; Viridiplantae; Streptophyta; Magnoliopsida; Fagales; Fagaceae
Exons: 5
Source: RefSeq, a predicted model, not a curated record